GAUUGAGUUUGAUCCUGGCUCAGGAUGAACGCUGGCGGCGUGCUUAACACAUGCAAGUCGAACGGAGAUAUCAUUUUCGAAGCGAUUAGUUUACUAAGAGUGGAGAUGUUGGUAUCUUAGUGGCGGACGGGUGAGUAACGCGUGGGUAACCUGCCUUACACUAGGGGAUAACACUUAGAAAUAGGUGCUAAUACCGCAUAACAGGGAAAGAUGCAUGUCUUUUCCUUGAAAACUCCGGUGGUGUAAGAUGGACCCGCGUCUGAUUAGCUGGUUGGCGGGGUAACGGCCCACCAAGGCGACGAUCAGUAGCCGGCCUGAGAGGGUGAACGGCCACAUUGGGACUGAGACACGGCCCAAACUCCUACGGGAGGCAGCAGUGGGGAAUAUUGGACAAUGGGGGGAACCCUGAUCCAGCGACGCCGCGUGAGUGAAGAAGUAUUUCGGUAUGUAAAGCUCUAUCAGCAGGGAAGAAAGAAAUGACGGUACCUGACUAAGAAGCCCCGGCUAACUACGUGCCAGCAGCCGCGGUAAUACGUAGGGGGCAAGCGUUAUCCGGAUUUACUGGGUGUAAAGGGAGCGUAGACGGCGAUGCAAGUCUGAAGUGAAAGGCGGGGGCCCAACCCCCGGACUGCUUUGGAAACUGUAUAGCUGGAGUGCANGANAGGUAAGUGGAAUUCCUAGUGUAGCGGGUGAAUGCGUA
This 700-nucleotide ribosomal RNA is filed under the name uncultured bacterium. RNAcentral's name for it is "bacterial SSU rRNA". It matches the Rfam family "Bacterial small subunit ribosomal RNA", at positions 1 to 692 of the family's 1533-position model. The record is from RNAcentral.